UGAUGAGGCAUGACACAGGAGCUGUCUAUGAUUCGCUAAUGCUCAGCUGUUUAGGAUUGGCUGGGAAAAAAAGCACUCAGGCUUCAGUUUGUCCACACAGCAAGUUACGGUGCAGUUUGCUUCAUAGGAACUCAGCGAACAGAGGUAGCCGCUAGCUCACGGCCUCUGCUUAUUUAAUUUAGCACCCCUGCAGGGCAUUUUUGAAUGCUGUUUCACAGAGCCAACAUAUUGUGAGCAGCUUUCCUCGUCAUGGAAGGCCAUCCCAGAGCAGUUUUUUAAUGGCUGCUGAGCGUCCUGCAGAAUCCAGUGUUCCCUGAGCUUCACAGGAAAGGAUAUGAACGCCUUGCUUAGGACCGAACCCUCAGCUGUCAGCAGAGGGCAGAGCAGCUUCUCCGUUCCCGGCCCACAGCUGAAAGAAAUGCUAUUGAGGGAAGAAAGGUUGCAAAGCCUACAAGCCUUCAGCUGCUCGGGUGUGAUAAAGACCUCAGUGUUUCUUCUUGGACUACACCGUCACAUCACGGGUUGUACCCAGAGAUUGCAGGGAUGAGCUCUGGGGCUGAAGCAUCUUGAAGAGCCCCGCAGUAGUCGCUCAUCGAUGAGCCUAGGGAAGUGGCAUCCAGCUUCUCUGAAACUCUGACUCCCCACUCCUGCCCCAGAGAGGCAGAAAUUUUCCAAAGGGACCUGGCCCAGUGGCGUGAUUUCUUCUGCUUCUUCUCUCUAUGUCCCCUGUUAAUGGGGUCCCCAGACCCUGCCUUUGGUGGUGAGAAGAGACUGAAUCCAGGAAUGAGGUGAUGGGGAAGCUGAGACUUAUGAGAGCUGUCUGAACUCACAGGGAUAGAAGGUCAAGAAAACAAGCCUAUCCGUGAAGAGGAAACAAGACUUGCCGGGAGGACCAGUUCUGCCUUGGUUAAUACAGAAGCAGGAGCUAUCUGUAGUCUGCAGGGAAGAUCGUGUGUCUGCAAUCACUCAGGUAGCGUCCCUUGCAAUCAAUGAGGCCACAGGCUGGGUGGAGAACACUGACAUGAAGUCACUAUGAGCAAGAAACCUUCACGCCCCUCCCACCUCCGAAUCUGGCCCUUCCUGACACACAUCAGUUUGGCACUGGGCUUGAAUUGCACUGAUCGUUUAGUCAGUUUCACCAUCUGAGGCACUGGGCACCAUGACAAGGGGCUGGUUUCUCAAACCUGUAGUGGGCAAUCGACCAGAGUCUGGGAAAUUGGCAGGGCCUGCCUAGCAUCCUACUCCAUGGGACCCAUGUAAACUCAUACUGUCUCUAGCUGCCCACCAGUUGCCCAGGACUCUGAGGUCCUCCAACUCCUGAUGUAAUUUUCAGAAUGAGAUGAAUAUCUAAAGGACUCUUAGUCACCCGAUGAAUAAGCAAACCCCCUUUGUUGGGUUUCCACAGCAAUGUUCUGAUGAAGUCUUUGAGCUGUCUGUGCCUGGACCUUGUUCACAUAACCAUUGCCCCAUCCCCCACCCCGCCCCCAACCUUUCCUGGCAAGUGGCCUUGGGAGUGGAGAAAAACAGUCAGUCUGACCUGGAGGUGAACAAGUCAGCCAGCACGAACAUCCCUCUGCGUACCUACAAAAGCUAAAAGAGCUGGGCACCUGCCGUCCUUGCUCCUUAGACAUCCCUGGCAUCCCAGAAGAUCUAGGGCCAUUUGUGACGGGGUAUGCAGCAACAUAUAAAGCUCAAAUGGCCAAAACAUCUGCACGCAGAGAGAAAUGAGGCAGUUGCUUAAAGGUUCUCUGUUCAGGGCACCAUCUAUGUACUGCCACACUGUGACUCGGGAUGGUUCUCAUUUCAGCCCUGGAAGUCCCUUGUCCUUGGAUGAACCCCACACACACACACACACCAGCCAUUAGGAAACCAGAAGAGUUGGUCAUGCCCCCUCUAGUUUAUUAUUAUUGUUGUUAGCACAUAAAGUAAUGGGUUUCACUGUCAUGACAUCAUAUGUGUUUACUAUCACCACACUUUGUUAUUGACUACUGUCCUUCUCUGUCCCCCACUUCUCCCUCUUGGUGGUUGCCUCCCUCUCCCAAAUAGCGCCUCUUCUGUUUGCAUGUUUGAAAUAAGAAAUUAAAAGUUUAAAAAACUAGAGUAACUGAGCUAUGUGAAUGUAGACAAUGAAUGGUCUUCAGCUGUUUUCUGGUUUUGUAUCAAAAUGUUUGAGCUCUGGUCAUCUUUAAAGGACAGAAGUCUAUUUAGAUCAUGGUUCUGGAGGCUGGAAACCCACGAACAUAGCUCCAUCAUCUCUCUGACAUGUGGUGAGGGCCUCAGGUUAUCCUGCCAUGGAAGAGGACAUGCCAUGGUGAGAGCUGUGCCAAGUCAGGUAAGUUUUCUUAUAAAACCACUUGGUAUAGCUCCUUUUGAUAUCAGUGAGGCAAUUUCUCAGAAAAUUAGGAAACAACCUUACUCAAGACCU
Non-coding RNA from Myodes glareolus (Bank vole), 2425 nucleotides. The record is from RefSeq and is a predicted model, not a curated record. NCBI's taxonomy places the organism in Eukaryota, Metazoa, Chordata, Mammalia, Rodentia, Cricetidae.